UACGGAAGGCAGCAGUGGGGAAUAUUGCACAAUGGGCGCAAGCCUGAUGCAGCCAUGCCGCGUGUAUGAAGAAGGCCUUCGGGUUGUAAAGUACUUUCAGUCGUGAGGAAGGUGUUAAGGUUAAUAACCUUAGCAAUUGACGUUAGCGACAGAAGAAGCACCGGCUAACUCCGUGCCAGCAGCCGCGGUAAUACGGAGGGUGCGAGCGUUAAUCGGAAUUACUGGGCGUAAAGGGCACGCAGGCGGUUAAUUAAGUUGGAUGUGAAAUCCCCGGGCUUAACCUGGGAAUGGCAUUCAAGACUGGUUAGCUAGAGUCUUGUAGAGGGGGUAGAACUCCAUGUGUAGCGGUGAAAUGCGUAGAGAUGUGGAGGAAUACCGGUGGCGAAGGCGGCCCCUGGACAAAGACUGACGCUCAUGUGCGAAAGCGUGGGGAGCAAACAGGGAUUAGAUACC
This 453-nucleotide ribosomal RNA is filed under the name uncultured bacterium. RNAcentral's name for it is "bacterial SSU rRNA". It matches the Rfam family "Bacterial small subunit ribosomal RNA", at positions 340 to 786 of the family's 1533-position model. The record is from RNAcentral.